This is a long non-coding RNA of Parus major (Great Tit), 521 nucleotides long. RefSeq lists it as uncharacterized. NCBI's taxonomy places the organism in Eukaryota, Metazoa, Chordata, Aves, Passeriformes, Paridae. The record is from RefSeq and is a predicted model, not a curated record. The transcript is spliced from 4 exons.
AUCAUUUGGGAACAAAGGAAAGAAGUGCCCAUGCUGUGCUACAGGAUCCAUGCCCAGAUCUAGUGGGAAAUGGCGUUAUUUGAGUUCAGAUCUGGCCCUGGAGAGGUGUGGCAUCAUUCAGUUUAUCCUUAGGACAAGGAGAGCUGGAAAUCUGAAUUGACCUUUUGAUCUCAACCGCAAGGAGGAAUCCAUGGAUCUGUUGCACAGAAGGGAGAGCUUUUUGUAGGCUGGGAACUGUCCCUGCAUCUCCUGAGUGCUGCCUGGGAGGGUGGAUGUGCUGGAGAGCGAGGUGCUGCCCUGAAGGAGGAAAAAGCUCCAGUGGAUGCAUGGAACUCGUUCAAGGUGGUGAGAACUCCUCGUGGAAUCCCAGGAGAACUGGAGGAAGAGUGGGGGGAACUGGAGGAAGAGUGGGGAGAACUGGAGGAAGCAGCACGAGCCAUGGUGGGGGAUGAGGCCUGGAGAGUGAUUUUUGACAGGGCCAGGCAGUGAUGGAUGGCAGGGAAUGGUUUUAAACUAAAAGG